GUCUUGUAGAAUAAUAAUAUCAGGUUUACUCUGCCCAUUGAAUAUAAAUUUUAAAAGGCUGCAGUAUAUUGACUGUACAAAGGUAGCAAAAUCAAUAGUUUUUUAAUUGGAAACUGGAAUGAAAGAGUUGAUGAAAUAUAAGUUGUCUCAAUUUAAUUAUUUGAAUUUAAAUUAAAAGUUAAAAUGCUUUUAUAUAAUUAUUAGACGAGAAGACCCUAUAGAAUUUUAUAAAAUUUAUUUUUUAAAUUAUUUUUGUUUUUAAAAUUUAUUAAAUAAUUAUAUUUUACUGGGAGGGUAAUUAAAUUUAAUUAACUUUAAUAUAAUUAAACAUAGAUAAAUGAAAUUUUUGAUUAUUAUUAUAAUUAUUAGAAUAAAUUACCUUAGGGAUAACAGCGUAAUAAUUUUGGAGAGUUCAUAUCGAUAAAAUUGUUUGCGACCUCGAUGUUGAAUUAUGAUAAAAAUUAAAUGGAGAUAUUUAAAAUUUUAGUCUGUUCGACUAUUAAAAUCAUACA
RNAcentral lists this ribosomal RNA (512 nucleotides) under Vespula vidua. Its description in RNAcentral is "partial 16S ribosomal RNA". The stretch from base 386 to 512 matches the Rfam family "Bacterial large subunit ribosomal RNA", at positions 2473 to 2600 of the family's 2925-position model. The record is from RNAcentral. Lineage: Eukaryota; Metazoa; Arthropoda; Insecta; Hymenoptera; Vespidae.